RNAcentral lists this ribosomal RNA (549 nucleotides) under uncultured Glomeromycotina. RNAcentral describes it as "SSU rRNA". It matches the Rfam family "Eukaryotic small subunit ribosomal RNA", at positions 548 to 1098 of the family's 1831-position model. The record is from RNAcentral. Lineage: Eukaryota; Fungi; Glomeromycota.
UUGGAGGGCAAGUCUGGUGCCAGCAGCCGCGGUAAUUCCAGCUCCAAUAGCGUAUAUUAAAGUUGUUGCAGUUAGAAAGCUCGUAGUUGAAUUUCGGGAUCAAUAUGUCGGUCGUGCCUUCGGUACGUACUGGCAUCAUUGGUUUCUCCCUUCUGACAAACCAUGAUGUCAUUAAUUUGGUGUUAUGGGGAGUUAGGACUGUUACUUUGAAAAAAUUAGAGUGUUUAAAGCAGGCAUUAGCUUGAAUACAUUAGCAUGGAAUAAUGAAAUAGGACGUUUGACCCUAUUUUGUUGGUUUCUAGGAUCGACGUAAUGAUUAAUAGGGAUAGUUGGGGGCAUUAGUAUUCAAUUGUCAGAGGUGAAAUUCUUGGAUUUAUUGAAGACUAACUACUGCGAAAGCAUUUGCCAGGGAUGUUUUCAUUAAUCAAGAACGAAAGUUAGGGGAUCGAAGACGAUCAGAUACCGUCGUAGUCUUAACCAUAAACUAUGCCGACUAGGGAUCGGAUGAUGUUAAUUUUUUAAUGACUCAUUCGGCGCCUUACGGGAAAC